CCGUGCUUCCAGGUCGUUUUCGAUGUUGCGACUUUCGAAUCGUCGAUCGGCUCGGUUAAACUUGAUCUAGAGUAUUUGAAAUAACUAGAAAAUAAAUUUUAUGAUUUUUCGAUAUCAUUUGCCUAGGGAUCAAAGGGGCUCAAAAUCAAUAAUUUUAAUGGCCGUAGUGAGCCGUUUGCAAGUUUAAUGGUGUAGAACAAUCCAAAUCACGUGAAAUUGUGAUAGAAAAUUCUUUAUACUAUAUAAAACAAGAUCAAUAUCUUUGAUCUAAAAUUUUAAUAUCAUAUUAUCACGUUUUUUAAGAUUUUUAUUUUCAGCUGUUGAUUUUGAGCCCUUCGCUCACUAGGCAAAUAAUAUCGAAAAAUCACAUAAUUUAUUUUCUAGGUACUUCAAAUACUCUAGAUCAAGUUUAACGGAGCCGAUCGACAAUUCGAAAGUCGCAACAUGGAAGCGACCU
RNAcentral lists this long non-coding RNA (457 nucleotides) under Ananas comosus (pineapple). RNAcentral's name for it is "long non-coding RNA (ACOM_LNC018151)". Lineage: Eukaryota; Viridiplantae; Streptophyta; Magnoliopsida; Poales; Bromeliaceae. The record is from RNAcentral.